This is a long non-coding RNA of Cavia porcellus (domestic guinea pig), 1088 nucleotides long. RefSeq lists it as uncharacterized. NCBI's taxonomy places the organism in Eukaryota, Metazoa, Chordata, Mammalia, Rodentia, Caviidae. The transcript has 3 exons. The record is from RefSeq and is a predicted model, not a curated record.
GCCGAGUUGGGGCGCAGCGGGCUCCUCGAAAUCACCUCGCACUGGCUGGUCCCUCGCCUUGCAGGCUGUUCCUGGGCGGUGCCCAUGGGCUGUGGUUAGGGAAAGAGUUGAGGGGGACCCUUGAGUAGAUUCGGAAACAACACGGCCCCAUGGCCCAAAGGGUCCCCUGUGUCCCCCGGAAGGCGUGCCCUGGAGGUCCCAGCGCUGCUGGUGGAGGAAGGUUUGGGAGAAACAGUGCUUCUGACAGCAGGCUUCCGGGUUCCGGGCUUCUCCGUGCUUCUUCCGUGUCAGCCCAGGGGACAGGGUGGAGCCCCUCAGACCUCGCCAUCCCGGGACCUGUGGGCAGAGGGACGGGUGCGGAGCCAAGGAGGCUGAGGCAGGAAGGAUUAGGAGUUCAAGCCCAGCUGGGUGACUUCGUGACACCCUGUCUCAAGAUAAAGGGCCGGGGGCGUCUCCCAGUGUGAAGAGGCCCCAGUACUGAAAGAGAAAGGAGGGAAGGGGCCAGCGACGGUCAGCAGACGGGUCCUCUCCGCUGGGUCCCGUGACUGUAGUAUCAAGGGCAAAACGACUCUCAGAAGCGCUGGAAGAAAAAGACCAGUAAGCUUUGCAGCCACAAAGGCCAAAGGCGACUCGCUGACAAGCAGAGGCCAGGGAGCAAGGCUCGCAUCCCACUCAUGACAGGGUGUGGCUCAGGGCAGGGCCAGCUGGGGGUGGACCCGGCUGUCUCCUGCGCCCAGCAAGCGACCAGUUGGGGUGCCGUGUGCAAAACUGACAGUGCUGCGCCCAGAGGACCACAGACUUGAAAGUGAAGCGUGGCAACUUUUGUGAGACAGACGCAGAUGCCUGUGAGAGACACUGAGGCGAUGGGGAGGGCACAGGGUCAGCCUGGUGGCCGUGGGACCUGCGCAGGGAUGACCAGGCGCUGUGCUGGAGAACCACGCAGACCACCUCACCGCUGGCUGCACGAGGGGCGCGUUUAUUUUUCCUCCAGCCUGGAGGCCCUGCACGUGCUAGGCCAGGGCUCUGCCGCUGUCACUCGGAUCUCUCUCUUUCUGGACAUUUUAGGGAGGCUCACAGAAGAACCAAAA